CCUCUCUGUACUUUACUGCUGGUUCUGGUCGACUGCAGGAAAACACCGGGGCAGAGUGGAACUGAGAGAGGAGAAGGGCAAGAGGAACAUGGAGAUUUGAUUUCAUUAAGCCCGAAGGCAAAAGUUCAAACUAUAGUGACAGACUGACACUGACCUGUAGCACCACCUGUACUCUGACUGACAACCCCACCUACAUCUGGUACAAGAACAGACGUCUCACCAACCCAAAUACCAAAAUAACUACCUAGACCCAGUCAGCAGUGAGGAUACAGACAGAUUCUCCUCUCUGCUGAAGAGACUCACUGUCACAUGUAAGUACAAUACAUGUAUAUAAUCUCACUGUAAUUGAGUUCUAGUAUUAUACUUUGGUUACACUGUAUGUUCAUGUGUAUGUCAUUCCCAACACUAGAUGGCCCAAGGAGAGUGUGUGGGAGAUAAUUAGAUGUCACUAAUUACAUUAGCCAUUUCUGAGAAGAGAUCAGGCCAAUAAUUACAUUUUGCUAAUGCAGAAAUGAUGUCACCUAGUGCAUUUGCUGUUUCUGAGCAAAACUCUUGCCAAUUAAUUACAUUAGCUAAUGUACAGGACUACAUUAGCUAAGACCCAUAACUACAUUUGUUACAUCUGGACAUACUAAUGUUUGGUGAACAUGGAGAGACCAAUAUUCAUAUAUUUUCAUGCUGAUUCCACAUAAAUGUUUUAAUAAAGACUGUUUAAAAGAAAGACUAUUUGAGUAUGUAGAGACCAGGAUAUGUUGUUGUCCUGGGUCCCAAUACUCAGUGUUAUAGUCCUGGUCCUGAGAAUAAAGACCAGGAUAUGUUGUUGGCCUGGGUCCCAAUACUCAGUGUUAUAGUCCUGGUCCUGAGAAUAAAACAGGUUUAAAACAAAUCAACAGAGAAACACGUGUCUUACAGUGCUACACAUCUGUUAUAAUAACUGAUUUUUCAAUUGAAGUAUCAGGAUUAGUUGUUUACCAGUUAUAAAGUAUGUUUUAGUUGUUUAUCUUCAUGUUUCUAAGACUGCAGGGUGGGAGAUGCAACAACGGCCUUGAGAACAGCAGGAAGUGUGUUGGUCGUUCUCUGUUCCCGGACAGAAAGAUGGCCUUCAAAUCCAACUCUGACUUAAAGGGACGCAGUAGACGACGGACAGGUUGCACCUCAACCAGUGGGUAGCGUCAUGUCAUUGUUAUGAAUGUUCUCCAAGCCUCCCCCUGCUGUCGGUGCCAUAGACGUGCACAAAAGUUGAAAUGGAUCGAGGCUCAUGACAAUAUAAUAACAAAGGUUUUUCUGUUUUUUUAUUUUUGUAUCCAACCACAGGAGCUCACUCUCAAUUUUCAAAAUACACCACAGAGCAUCAUUUAGCCACAGAGGAUCAAUAGUUUCAAAAAAUAACUGUGGAUUAAGUUUACAUUUUAUCACAAGCAAAUACAGGUAACUGCCGAGCCCUUUCUCAACAAUGCAGAGUUUAAAAGUUUUUUUUUUAAUGCUUUGGAAAAUAGUAACACUAAAUAAUAAUAACGAAGCUAUAUACAAGGAGUACCGGUACCAAGUCAAUGUGAAGGAGUACAAGGUCGUUUAGGUAAUUGUGGUAGUAUGUACAUGUAGGUAGGGGUUAAAGUGACGAGGGAAUCAGCAUGUGUGUAAUGUUGAGAUGGAAUUGUCAAUCCUUAAAGCAGAAGCCAAAGGGUUAAUAAGAACAGUGGUUCAAAACCAUUGGCAAAGAGUUGUGGAACAAGGAGAGAAAGGGAAGACACCUGGAUGAGAUCCAGGAACAAGGAGAGAAAGGGAAGACACCUGUAUGAGAUCCAGGAACAGGGAGAGAAAGGGAAGACACCUGUAUGAGAUCCAGGAACGGGGAGAGAAAGGGAAGACACCUGUAUGAGAUACAGGAACAGGGAGAGAAAGGGAAGACACCUGUAUGAGAUCCAGGAACAAGGAGAGAAAGGGAAGACACCUGUAUGAGAUCCAGGAACAGGGAGAGAAAGGGAAGACACCUGGAUGAGAUCCAGGAAAAGGUGGGGGCAGGGAGGUCCUCAGGCCGAGAGAGAAGGGAGGAAAGUGUUGUCACAAGGCUGAGAAACACAAGGCUCAAUAGUACAUUGAAAUUGGUUGGGAGACAUCUGACUGGGAGGUGUGAUCAUUCCUUGAAAUAUGUGAGGGAAAGGGAGCAAUUGUUAUUUGUUUUGAGGAGUAAUGGGGUUGAUGAACCAGGAUUAAGUGAACUGCUGGAGAAAUCUUCAGGGGAUGAAGAAGAAAGAAGAGAGCAAACUGGAAGCUAUUAGGCCCUAAACAGAGAGGACACAGUGGCAGAAUACCUGACCUCUGAGACUGACCCAGAAUUAAGAAAAUCUUUGACUAUGUACAAACUCAGUGAGCAUAGAGAAGAGAAGACAGGCCAAGUGCACACUGCCCACAAAAUGAGGUGGAAACUGAGCUGCACUUCCUAACUUCUUAAUUAACAUCCUGCCAAAUGUAUGACCAUAUUAGAGACACAUAUUUCCCUCAGAUUAAACAGACCCACAAAGAAUUUGAAAGCAAAUACAAUUUUGAUAGACUCACAUAUCUAUUAGGUGAAAUACCACAGUGUGCAAUCCCAGCAGCAAGAUUUGUGACCUGUUGCCACAAGAAAAGGCCAACCAGUGAAGAACAAACACCAUUGUAAAUACAACCUAUAUUAAUGUUUAUUUAAUUUCCCUUUUGUGCUUUAACUAUUUGCACAUCAUUACAACACUGUAUAUAGACAUAAUAUGACAUUUGAAUUGUCUUCAUUCAUUUUGAACUUUUUUGAGUGUAAAAUUGACUGUUCAUUUUUGUAUUGUUUAUUUCACUUUGUUUAUUAACCAUUUCACUUGUAAACAUGUGUUUCCCAUGUCAAUAAAGAACCUUAAAUUGAAAUUGAGAGAGAAAGAGAGAGGGAAAGAAAAGAGAGAGAGAGCAGGGUUGUACACUGAGGUUAGAUGGGAAUUCAAUACGUAAAUUCCAAAAUGGUGACAAAUACUGACAUUUAAUCAAUUACAAAUUAAAUGACCCUCCCCUGGACUAAACUUUAAAAAACACGAAAUCCUCCCCCUGACUGAAAUUGAAAUAAUAUGACCCUCCCCCGUUUUCCUCCGUGAAAUGCAGUAAUUGCAUUCAUUUCUGCCUGUCUCUAAAGCAUAAAUGGAUUUAUACUAUAGUAUUGGUGCAGUAAUGCAAGAUAUUGGAUUACAUUUGUCAGAAAACGAACUAGUAGCCAGUUGUUGUUGUUCAUGGUGGAAUAAUAUCAAACCCACAGGCUCCUGAAGCACAUAUGUCCCACACGAACUCCCGAGUCUAGUUAACAUUUCGCUACCUAGCUAGGCUGUUUGAUGACCAAACGGAUGAUCUGAAUCAAACACUAACGUUAGUUAGCCAUCCUCGGCGACAAUGUUAUUGUGGCGCAGGAAUGUCAUAUUUGUGUUUUAACUUUAUGUUAACUGUCAUUGAAGUUGAUGCUUACUAUUAGGUUUCAGAUUCGAAGUAGGAUCAAUUGCCCGUUAUGUUUUGUGUUUCGUUAAGGACUCAGAGUGCCUUUCUUACGGAAGGAAAUGUAAGUCUGGUUCUUUUAACAGUAUAGGCCUGCUGUUGCAAUAUAAAAUGUAUAGGCCUAUGUAACAGGUGUAAAAUAUACGUUAUGUAUUUCCCCGAAAAUCCCUCAUAUUUAUUUUAAGGUUAUUUUGGGAUAUAUUACAUUACUUUCAUGAGUGAACUAUUUUAUUGUAAAUAUUUUCUAAAUUGUGUUAAUGCUGUGAUGUCAUCAACGGAAGCCAUUAUUUUACUCCUCAGUUUUCUCAGAGCCUGAUGAGGAGAGGAGGUAUGUAUGUAUAUAUGUUUGUGUUAUGUAUGCGCCGGUCUUUUGAAUGCACAUGUUCACAAAUGCACAAGAAGAGACGAGCAAAAGUGAUAUCGUCACUGAUUUACUGUUGCAUUGCUGUUUAUAUGAAUAUACAUUCAUGUGAAUGGGGAUCAUGUUCCGAGUGCAACUUUGCAAGGCUAGCCCAGCUACCGUUAGCUUUGUUGCGGGAGAGGGUCUCUUUCAGGUGCAGACAUCUUGAGUUUUCUGAUGAUUUUCUCACGGGCAUUCUGCACUGUCUUUUGUCUUUUAUCAGGCAAAUAUACUUGUAUGGGAGUCCAGACGGCAGCAUUAACAUUUGGCCUUGUAUUUGUAUCCAUUCCUUGCAGUCAUUAAAAGAGAGAUAACCGGCAGAAUUGGGUCCAGAGCCUUGUCUCCCACCUACACGCAGAAAGGUACCGGUGCAGACCCGGUUACAUUGGUGCCGUGACGCAGAUCAACGUGGAUCAUUAUGAAUCGCCGUUGAUCAACACCAGCUUGGUCACCGGGAGUUGCUAUGCUAUAAAUAGGUUGGAAGUGAAAUCUCUUAAACACACCAAAAAAUAGCUAAUGGUUUGUUUGGUAUAUCUCUUAGAUUAACUGAUACAUUUGAAAUUGUUGUUACAUAUAUUCCAUUUUAUUUGUGUAUUUUGAAAGUGAAUAUGACUUCAAGUUGAAGUCGGACAUUUACGUACACUUAGGUUGGAGUCAUUAAAACUCAUCUUUCAACCACUCCACAAAUUUAUUGUUAACAAACUAUAGUUUUGGCAAGUCUGUUAGGACAUCUACUUUGUGCAUGACAAGUCAUUUUU
Molecule: long non-coding RNA, 4659 nt
Organism: Oncorhynchus gorbuscha (pink salmon)
Lineage: Eukaryota; Metazoa; Chordata; Actinopteri; Salmoniformes; Salmonidae
Exons: 5
Source: RefSeq, a predicted model, not a curated record